RNAcentral lists this ribosomal RNA (476 nucleotides) under uncultured organism. RNAcentral's name for it is "partial 16S ribosomal RNA". It matches the Rfam family "Bacterial small subunit ribosomal RNA", at positions 331 to 798 of the family's 1533-position model. The record is from RNAcentral.
GUACACUCCUACGGGAGGCAGCAGUGGGGAAUUUUGGACAAUGGGCGAAAGCCUGAUCCAGCAAUGCCGCGUGAGUGAAGAAGGCCUUCGGGUUGUAAAGCUCUUUUGUCAGGGAAGAAACGGUGAAAGCUAAUAUCUUUUGCUAAUGACGGUACCUGAAGAAUAAGCACCGGCUAACUACGUGCCAGCAGCCGCGGUAAUACGUAGGGUGCAAGCGUUAAUCGGAAUUACUGGGCGUAAAGCGUGCGCAGGCGGUUUUGUAAGUCUGAUGUGAAAUCCCCGGGCUCAACCUGGGAAUUGCAUUGGAGACUGCAAGGCUAGAAUCUGGCAGAGGGGGGUAGAAUUCCACGUGUAGCAGUGAAAUGCGUAGAUAUGUGGAGGAACACCGAUGGCGAAGGCAGCCCCCUGGGUCAAGAUUGACGCUCAUGCACGAAAGCGUGGGGAGCAAACAGGAUUAGAUACCCUGGUAGUCCCAU